RNAcentral lists this unclassified non-coding RNA (320 nucleotides) under Hevea brasiliensis (rubber tree). The record is from RNAcentral. Lineage: Eukaryota; Viridiplantae; Streptophyta; Magnoliopsida; Malpighiales; Euphorbiaceae.
GUUUUUAGCAUUCAAAUUCAUAUUUACAAACAAAAGAUCUUCGCUAGAUUUCUAGAUUCCCAUCAAUUUCCAUCAAUAUCUUCAGCUAAAUCAACGUUGGCUUUGAAGUUGAGGCUCCUUGUGCUUUUAUUAUUUUGCACUUUUUUUUGGUGUUGUGCACUUUAAGAGCAAAAAGCCCUUGCUACACUAAAUGUACUUUGCUUUGCAUGUGUAAAAGCGCUUUCCUAUUUGUCGCUGCACUUUUACAUUUUUUACUACACUAGCUUAGAAUGAAAGAAUUCAAUUCUUCUUAACUUAAAAAAAUUCAUUUUAAAAGAAAU